AAAAUAUUACUCUACCCGUCCCAAGAUUCUUGUCUUAGAUUUGUUUAGAUACGGAUGUAUCUAGUCACGUUUUAGUGUUAGAUACAUCCGUAUCUAGACAAAUCUAAGACAAGAAUUUUGGGACGGAGGUAAUAUCAU
This is a non-coding RNA of Triticum aestivum (bread wheat), 138 nucleotides long. Lineage: Eukaryota; Viridiplantae; Streptophyta; Magnoliopsida; Poales; Poaceae. The record is from Rfam.